Molecule: ribosomal RNA, 982 nt
Filed under: human oral metagenome
Description: bacterial LSU rRNA
Rfam family: Bacterial large subunit ribosomal RNA
Source: RNAcentral
ACGGUCCUAAGGUAGCGAAAUUCCUUGUCGGGUAAGUUCCGACCUGCACGAAUGGCAUAAUGAUGGCCAGGCUGUCUCCACCCGAGACUCAGUGAAAUUGAAAUCGCCGUGAAGAUGCGGUGUACCCGCGGCUAGACGGAAAGACCCCGUGAACCUUUACUAUAGCUUGACACUGAACAUUGAAUUUUGAUGUGUAGGAUAGGUGGGAGCCUUAGAAGCAGUCACGCCAGUGAUUGUGGAGGCGUCCUUGAAAUACCACCCUUUAACGUUUGAUGUUCUAACGAAGAUUACGAAACGUGGUCUCGGACAGUGUCUGGUGGGUAGUUUGACUGGGGCGGUCUCCUCCCAAAGAGUAACGGAGGAGCACGAAGGUUUGCUAAUGACGGUCGGACAUCGUCAGGUUAGUGCAAUGGUAUAAGCAAGCUUAACUGCGAGACAGACAAGUCGAGCAGGUACGAAAGUAGGUCAUAGUGAUCCGGUGGUUCUGAAUGGAAGGGCCAUCGCUCAACGGAUAAAAGGUACUCCGGGGAUAACAGGCUGAUACCGCCCAAGAGUUCAUAUCGACGGCGGUGUUUGGCACCUCGAUGUCGGCUCAUCACAUCCUGGGGCUGAAGUAGGUCCCAAGGGUAUGGCUGUUCGCCAUUUAAAGUGGUACGCGAGCUGGGUUUAGAACGUCGUGAGACAGUUCGGUCCCUAUCUGCCGUGGGCGUUGGAGAAUUGAUUGGGGCUGCUCCUAGUACGAGAGGACCGGAGUGGACGCACCACUGGUGUUCCGGUUGUGUCGCCAGACGCAUUGCCGGGUAGCUAAGUGCGGAAGAGAUAAGUGCUGAAAGCAUCUAAGCACGAAACUUGCCAAGAGAUGAGUUCUCCCAGAUUACAAAUCUGUAAGGGUUGUUUAAGACUAAGACGUAGAUAGGUCUGGUGUGUAAGCGGUGCGAGCCGUUGAGCUAACAGAUACUAAUUGCCCGAGAGGCUUAACUAU